CAAGAGCCCCGAAACGGGCCUUCGACC
RNAcentral lists this ribosomal RNA (27 nucleotides) under Coprosma lucida. RNAcentral describes it as "partial 26S ribosomal RNA". The record is from RNAcentral. Lineage: Eukaryota; Viridiplantae; Streptophyta; Magnoliopsida; Gentianales; Rubiaceae. RNAcentral also lists the same sequence under 1 other name.